CCGGAACUCCUGUUUUUAGGGUUACAUGCAGUCAGUUUGAUACUUAGCACACAUUGUUGAGUGCAUGCUGCCUAGGAUUUGUAAAAUACAUUGCAAAUGGUUGGUUUUGGUAUCAACUUGAAGGUAUAUUUGUAAGCAAUAAGAAAAUAAGCCAUUUUUGUGCUCUACUUUUUGUGUUGAUGGUUCCCGGCUUCGAAAGUAGGUCAUACUAUUUGAGCCCAAAAUGGUUGUCUGCACAGCUGUCAAAACCGGUUUGCCUAUUCUAAGGUAAAUAUUUUGAGUUUGCGCGUAUAGAAUUUAAUGACAUGCAUUUUUUUCAAAAGAUUAUGCAUUAAUCUUUCCAAUGAUGUAUGAUGAUAUAGUGGGUAUGCGCUUGAUCAUGGUAAAAAUUGAUAUCGAACUUCAACUAUUUUAUAUGUAAUAUAGAAGGAAAUUAAUUGCGCAUGCGUAACCUUUAAGCACAUCCGACCAAGUUAGUCGUCUGCCAGAAUUUUGACAUUUGACCAUCAAAAACUCUCUGUAUUGCAAAACAUAACUGCCAGAUGUCAUUUUAACCCAAAUAAGGGCUGUUUGCAAUUGGGCUGUUGCACUUGGGGUCAUAAGGGGGGUAAAUGCUGGAAAAUCACACCGAAACCUGUUCCGGAGACAUAUUCUAAGACUACUUAAACACCCGGUAUUGUUUUUCAGUGCCAUUUUGACAUUAAUUUGCAUCAAUCUCAAUAAUGAACCUAAUGCAUGUCUUUAUUUCAUCUGUAUUUAUUAUUAUUGUUUACUUUUUGAGCCUUUUUCUGUUAAAAAUGCCCGCCAAUUUUGGACCUACACUUCUAUCCGCCUUCGCCUUCAACCCAUUCAGGCAGAUCUACUCAGAAUAACACUACUUUGCCUUAUUUUACCUGUUUGGAUAUCUCGCUGAGUUCAAGUAAAAUCAAGUAUUCAGCUGAAAACACAAAAAUGAUAAUAAUAUUAUGCUUUCUUUCCUGGAAGAAUGUUGUUGCGAUAGACCCUGCAUGAAAAACACCAGGGAAUCUGUAUUUAAGUGACCUUAAUAUUAUGCGUAAACCUAAGUGUGCAUUUGUAGGCGGUGUCGAAAUGGGUCUAUAGCUCUGCCUGAACUGUCGUCCAAUUGGUUUACAAGUCCGGCUGAAGUGACAGGCCAUCAAAAACUGUACAGUGUGACUGAUUCGGAGACGGCCCUCAACACUCGCCCAGUCGUGUCGAGAGGAUCGGUGUCUUUGCAGAUUACACGGAAUUGAGCACCCGGGCCAGACUGACACUUUCCGGAGCCUGCCCUAGACGGAACUCGAGCCGAGGAAUCAUAGGUCCAGGCGGUGUCGAAAUGGGUCUAUAGCUCUGCCUGAACUGUCGUCCAAUUGGUUUACAAGUCCGGCUGAAGUGACAGGCCAUCAAAAACUGUACAGUGUGACUGAUUCGGAGACGGCCCUCAACACUCGCCCAGUCGUGUCGAGAGGAUCGGUGUCUUUGCAGAUUACACGGAAUUGAGCACCCGGGCCAGACUGACACUUUCCGGAGCCUGCCCUAGACGGAACUCGAGCCGAGGAAUCAUAGGUCCAGGUGUGACAAAAGACUUAAAGCUCAUGUCUGACGAUGACUUUUUUAGUCAGGAAGCCAAGUGUGUUGUUUUUCCAUGCAAGCGAGCCCUUUUGUUGGGUCAAAUGACAUCAGCAUUGCUGCUUCUACAUGGAUUUUACCUAAAAUGUGCAAAAAAAAUAUAAAAAGUUUGUUCGAAUCCAGUUCAAAACCUGCUUUGAUGCACAAAUAUUGCCAUUGAUGAUUUUUUUCACUUAUUAAGCCAUAUGUAAGAUAAGCUUUGCCUAUUAGAAUCGAAAGACAUGCCUUGUAUGGAGUCUAAGUGCUGCAUGUAUGAUGUAACCGAGUUUGGCUUUUCUACCUUAAUUCUUGACGCGAAACGCUGUUACGCAUGGCGCUUUCAAUGGCAACUUUUAUGAAUUAAUCUGUGUGUCAUUGUACCGGAACUUUGUGAUCUUUCUCAAAACAGAUUAUACCUGUGGGAAAAGUGCCUUUAAUUUAAAUUUGAAGGGGUUGGGUUCUCUUAAAGGUCACAUAACCCCAAACCGGAACUCCUGUUUUUAGGGUUACAUGCAGUCAGUUUGAUACUUAGCACACAUUGUUGAGUGCAUGCUGCCUAGGAUUUGUAAAAUACAUUGCAAAUGGUUGGUUUUGGUAUCAACUUGAAGGUAUAUUUGUAAGCAAUAAGAAAAUAAGCCAUUUUUGUGCUCUACUUUUUGUGUUGAUGGUUCCCGGCUUCGAAAGUAGGUCAUACUAUUUGAGCCCAAAAUGGUUGUCUGCACAGCUGUCAAAACCGGUUUGCCUAUUCUAAGGUAAAUAUUUUGAGUUUGCGCGUAUAGAAUUUAAUGACAUGCAUUUUUUUCAAAAGAUUAUGCAUUAAUCUUUCCAAUGAUGUAUGAUGAUAUAGUGGGUAUGCGCUUGAUCAUGGUAAAAAUUGAUAUCGAACUUCAACUAUUUUAUAUGUAAUAUAGAAGGAAAUUAAUUGCGCAUGCGUAACCUUUAAGCACAUCCGACCAAGUUAGUCGUCUGCCAGAAUUUUGACAUUUGACCAUCAAAAACUCUCUGUAUUGCAAAACAUAACUGCCAGAUGUCAUUUUAACCCAAAUAAGGGCUGUUUGCAAUUGGGCUGUUGCACUUGGGGUCAUAAGGGGGGUAAAUGCUGGAAAAUCACACCGAAACCUGUUCCGGAGACAUAUUCUAAGACUACUUAAACACCCGGCGGUGUCGAAAUGGGUCUAUAGCUCUGCCUGAACUGUCGUCCAAUUGGUUUACAAGUCCGGCUGAAGUGACAGGCCAUCAAAAACUGUACAGUGUGACUGAUUCGGAGACGGCCCUCAACACUCGCCCAGUCGUGUCGAGAGGAUCGGUGUCUUUGCAGAUUACACGGAAUUGAGCACCCGGGCCAGACUGACACUUUCCGGAGCCUGCCCUAGACGGAACUCGAGCCGAGGAAUCAUAGGUCCAGGCGGUGUCGAAAUGGGUCUAUAGCUCUGCCUGAACUGUCGUCCAAUUGGUUUACAAGUCCGGCUGAAAG
This is a long non-coding RNA of Dreissena polymorpha, 3082 nucleotides long. RefSeq lists it as uncharacterized. The transcript is spliced from 7 exons. Lineage: Eukaryota; Metazoa; Mollusca; Bivalvia; Myida; Dreissenidae. The record is from RefSeq and is a predicted model, not a curated record.